This 364-nucleotide ribosomal RNA is filed under the name uncultured bacterium. Its description in RNAcentral is "partial 16S ribosomal RNA". It matches the Rfam family "Bacterial small subunit ribosomal RNA", at positions 338 to 699 of the family's 1533-position model. The record is from RNAcentral.
CCUACGGGAGGCAGCAGUGAGGAAUAUUGCUCAAUGGACGGAAGUCUGAUCCAGCCAUGCCGCGUGCAGGAAGAAGGCUCUCUGAGUUGUAAACUGCUUUUGCACGAGGGUAAACCUGAAUACGUGUAUUAAGCUGCAAGUCCUGUACGCAUCAGGCUCGGCUAACUACGUGCCAGAAGCAGCGGUAAUACGGAGGGUCCAAGCGUUAUACGGAGUUAUUGGGCGUAGAGGGUGCGUAGGCGGAUUGAGAAGUUAGAGGUGAAGUGUCCGGGCUUAACUCGGGAACUGCCUCUGAUACUGUGGAGCGAGAGAGUAGGUGCGGUAGGUGGAAUGCAUGGUGUAGCGGUGAAAUGCGUAGAGAUCA